AGCGAACGCUGGCGGCAGGCCUAACACAUGCAAGUCGAACGAACCUUUCGGGGUUAGUGGCGGACGGGUGAGUAACACGUGGGAACGUGCCUUUAGGUUCGGAAUAACUCAGGGAAACUUGUGCUAAUACCGAAUGUGCCCUUCGGGGGAAAGAUUUAUCGCCUUUAGAGCGGCCCGCGUCUGAUUAGCUAGUUGGUUGAGGUAAUGGCUCACCAAGGCGACGAUCAGUAGCUGGUCUGAGAGGAUGAUCAGCCACAUUGGGACUGAGACACGGCCCAAACCCCCAGGGGAGGCAGCAGGGGGGAAUCUUGCGCAAUGGGCGAAAGCCUGACCCAGCCAUGCCGCGUGAAUGAUGAAGGUCUUAGGAUUGUAAAAUUCUUUCCCCGGGGACGAUAAUGGCGGUACCCGGAGAAGAAGCCCCGGCUAACUUCGU
Molecule: ribosomal RNA, 433 nt
Filed under: uncultured bacterium
Lineage: Bacteria
Description: partial 16S ribosomal RNA
Rfam family: Bacterial small subunit ribosomal RNA
Source: RNAcentral